This 73-nucleotide transfer RNA is filed under the name Rhodococcus phage Trina. RNAcentral describes it as "tRNA-Lys". It matches the Rfam family "tRNA". From Rfam's summary of the family: Transfer RNA (tRNA) molecules are approximately 80 nucleotides in length. Their secondary structure includes four short double-helical elements and three loops (D, anti-codon, and T loops). Further hydrogen bonds mediate the characteristic L-shaped molecular structure. tRNAs have two regions of fundamental functional importance: the anti-codon, which is responsible for specific mRNA codon recognition, and the 3' end, to which the tRNAs corresponding amino acid is attached (by aminoacyl-tRNA synthetases). tRNAs cope with the degeneracy of the genetic code in two manners: having more than one tRNA (with a specific anti-codon) for a particular amino acid; and 'wobble' base-pairing, i.e. permitting non-standard base-pairing at the 3rd anti-codon position. The record is from RNAcentral. Lineage: Duplodnaviria; Heunggongvirae; Uroviricota; Caudoviricetes.
GCCCCGGUAGUUAUAAUGUAAAACCGCAGACUUUUAAUCUGUCAGUUCUCGGUUCAAGUCCGAGUCGGGGUAC